UGCCAAGAACAUGAUGGCUGCCUGUGACCC
Molecule: non-coding RNA, 30 nt
Filed under: Homo sapiens (human)
Lineage: Eukaryota; Metazoa; Chordata; Mammalia; Primates; Hominidae
Source: RNAcentral